Molecule: RNA transcript, 1751 nt
Organism: Tripterygium wilfordii
Lineage: Eukaryota; Viridiplantae; Streptophyta; Magnoliopsida; Celastrales; Celastraceae
Gene name: bZIP transcription factor 12-like
Exons: 5
Source: RefSeq, a predicted model, not a curated record
UUGCAGAAGGCAAUGCGAACAGUGACUUCACACACACUUUACACAUUUACAUUAUCAGCUUGUUCUCAGUUGCCAAGGUUUCGUCUUUCUCGCUUAACAAUUCGGUUGCGUUUAAUCCGCCCUCUCUCUCUCUCUGGUUUGUUGUGAUCGGUUCCGAGUUCAGGUAAGAUCAGUGACUGGAGAAAAUCAAUUCUUCAAAACGAAAAUAUCUGAGGAAGCGAAAUCCGGGGGAGUUCGUUAGAUAAUGGCGUCGUCGAAGGUGAUGGCGACCACGUCAUCGACGAAUCACGAUCUGCCACAUCAAUCAUCCCUAUGCUCCUCGAUCUCUUCUCUCCUCGCCGAUCUCCAACAGCAGCAGCAAAGCCUCGACCAAACCGGUGAUCCCUUGGUCUCUUCCAUGAGCAUGGACGAUCUCUUGAAGAACAUAUAUGCCUCCACCUCUCCUCAGCCACCAGUGCAGGGAGAGUCUCACGCGCAGUUCCCCGGCGCGUCCGAAACAAGCGAUGGCGCCGCUUGUAUUGGCAACGCAAAGUCCGUGGAGGAUGUGUGGAAGGAGAUCGUGGCGGGCGGGAACCAGAGUCUGACUAUUGCCGGCGGAGGUCCUGGUGAGAUGACGCUGGAGGAUUUCUUGACCAAGGCAGGGGCCGUGAGUGAGGAGGACGUUAGGAUGCAUAAUCAGGUGGGAGCUAGUACAGGUACUGUAUAUGCUGUGGAUGCAACUUUGGCGUAUGCCAAUGGCGGAAUUGGAAUGGGGGAACCAGUGCGAAGAGGAGGUAAGAGAAGAGUAGUAGAGGAACAACCACUUGAUAAGGCCACACAGCAAAAGCAGAGGCGCAUGAUCAAGAACAGAGAGUCCGCUGCCAGGUCCCGAGAGCGCAAGCAGGCAUACACUGUAGAGCUUGAGUCCCUUGUGACACAGCUAGAAGAGGAGAAUGCGCAGCUGUUGAGAGAAGAGGCUGAGCAAAACAAGGAGAGGUUUAAGCAGGCCCAUGGAAAAGGGGUCCCCGGCCCUCCUACAGAAUUAUUCAUUAAGGUACCGAAGUUCUGUGAAUGCUUGGUUUGAUUGCGCUACGGCUUUAAUUGAAGUAAUCACAUGGCCUAAUGGGAUGGAAGGAGUCUUAAGAUCAGUUCUUUACCUUUUUAUACAGAUCAAAAGAUAAAAGGUUGCAUGGAACUUUGAGCUCAGAAAAGCCUUACUCAUGGAGAACCUAAUUCCUGUUGUUGAGAAGCGAAAACCUCCUCGUGGUCUUCGCAGGGUACGUUCUAUGCAGUGGUAGAUGUGGUUCAUAAUUUGGUUUUAGUUAUAGAUAAAUCAGAGAGUCACAUACAGAUAAGAGAAGAAUAAAGAUUGUGGUUUAUGAAAUCUUUUACUGGGAGCUCUUUUGCACAAAAGGCUGGGUACAGCAGUUGACUUGCAGUAUAGUUAAACAAGGCCGAUGAUAGCAGCCGGUGGACGAGUUGGAUCAUUGUCUAUUGUAUCUCUUAGGUAAAAUGUGUUGGAGAAAAAAAAAUGCAUAGAAUUUCCAGAUUCUCCUCACGAGCUGUCGGUCAGAGAAUGUGAGACCUUGAUUAAAGUUGCAUCAUAAUAUUCAUUUUAUGUUAAAAGAGUUGAUGUUUUUAUACCUAUCUGCCAUGGGAUCUAAGAUUAAGGUAUGCCUUUGAACUUGUGACUGCUUUGUAUCAUUGUAUGGUGAGGGGACUAUGCUUUUGUAUUCGGUCAUAUAUUUAAGAGUUGAAAAAUAUUUUAAUGA